AUCUAUGGCCAUGCCAUCCUGAACAUGCCUGAUCUCAUCUGAUCUCGGAAGCUAAGCAGGGUCGGGCCUGGUUAGUACUUGGAUGGGAGACCAUCUAGGAAUACCAGGUACUGCAGGCA
RNAcentral lists this ribosomal RNA (119 nucleotides) under Pteropus alecto (black flying fox). The record is from RNAcentral. Lineage: Eukaryota; Metazoa; Chordata; Mammalia; Chiroptera; Pteropodidae.